AACGCACGAGACCUGCGGACCUGCGGAGGGAUCAUUACCGAGUUAGGGUAGUCACUCACUGCCCGACCUCCCAACCCUGUGUCUACCACACUUUGUCGUUGCUUCGGCGGACCGGUUGACCAACUGGUCGUGACCGCCGGGGGCUGGCUCUGUCCCCCCUGGAGAGCGUCCGUCGAUGGCCCAACCACAAAACUCUUGUACCGAAACGUGUCGUCUGAAUUAUAUUUGAGAAAUCAAAAA
Molecule: unclassified non-coding RNA, 240 nt
Filed under: soil metagenome
Description: partial contains 5.8S ribosomal RNA, internal transcribed spacer 2, and large subunit ribosomal RNA
Source: RNAcentral